GCUUCUCCCGUUUUCGAGUGUCGUGGUGGCUUUUACAAACUGAAGUAUUGUAAACCCUCUACUUCACUUCGAAAAUAAGAAGG
Molecule: non-coding RNA, 83 nt
Organism: Haemonchus contortus (barber pole worm)
Lineage: Eukaryota; Metazoa; Nematoda; Chromadorea; Rhabditida; Trichostrongylidae
Source: Rfam